Molecule: RNA transcript, 10554 nt
Organism: Mus musculus (house mouse)
Lineage: Eukaryota; Metazoa; Chordata; Mammalia; Rodentia; Muridae
Gene: Nkain2
Gene name: Na+/K+ transporting ATPase interacting 2
Exons: 8
Source: RefSeq, marked validated
GGGAGAGUUUGGACAUACAAGGACUUGAAUGUGUUAUUGGGGUGCAUGAUGUGAAUUUCUCAGAGAAUCAAUAUAAAUCUUGUGUUGAAAAUAAAAAUAAAAUCAUGAUAUGCUUGGUAACUAUGUACUGGUCAGUUGAAGGAUAGAAAGUAAAGGAAGGUUCACUGUGAAUACCUAUACUUCACAAUCCUGGAUUUUAAACAGAAAAAUUAAACUUAUCAUCCUCUAAAUAAUUUACCCCUGGCUGAGCUAGGGAAAUUCUUCAGUGAGUAAAUCAUUGCACAAGCCAGACAAUGAGAAUUCAGAGCCUCGGAAUCUGCUUUCAGAAUCUGCUUAAAAACCCAAGUGGCAUGACAGCUCAUAGCUAUAAUCCCAACACUUGGUAGGUGAAGAUAGGGAAUCGGUGGGACAGGCUGUCUAACUAGACUAGCUGAAUAAGUGAAAUUUGGGUUCAUUUUGAGUUCAUUCUUUCGUCAAUAAAUAGCAAGUGAUUGAAGCAGACCCCCUACCUAUGUCCAACUCUGUCACACCUGCAUAUACAUGGAAACACAUGUAGACACAUGCAUGCAUAGUGUACAAACAUACAAAUAAAAAGUGCAUCUCUGUCCCUUAGAAAAUAAAAUAAAAUAGAUAUUUAGAAUAUUAUCUUUAUAUUGAUAAACAUGUUAACUAUGAACAGGACACUGUUUAUGUUCUAUCCUCCAGCAGCUCAAUAUAUACUUCCAUGUAAAGAUUUAGAAUUACUCCUGUUAGAAGUGGAUAUAACACAUUUACCUUCUUAGCAUUACUCAGUGUCAUUUUCUAAUAUUCUAUUAAAUUGGUGUUUAUUCGGGUUUCAGAAGAAUAAACUUUGCAAAGCACAGCACAUAAAGAAAUUUUACAAUAACUCUGAUUUGAAAAGAUACUCCAAGCUGGGCAGUGGUAGUGCAUGUCUUUAAUCCCAGCACUUGGGAGGCAGAGGCAGGUGGAUUUCUGAGUUUGAGGCCAGCCUAGUCUACAGAGUGAGUUCCAGGACAGACAGGGCUACACAGAGAAUCCCUGUCUCGAAAAACAAACAAGCAAACAAACAAGCCCCCCAAAACAAAACGAAACAAAAAAACAACAACAACAACAACAAAAAGAUACUCCUAAGCAGUGUAAUAAAUCUUAAUUACACAGAAAAAAGCUAUUGAGUACAUAUAUUCGUACUGCUUUGCUAAAAGCUAGUCAUUAGUUUACUAUUUAAAAUGCUCUAUUCCUUAUCUUACACUGUGGAAAAUGAAUCUUAAUGUUAAGCUUUCUCUAAGUUUGGCAAGUGAUUUGGGUGACUAGAUUGUGUUUCCUCCACUUGCCUGGCUGGCAGUAUGUGAAAUCCAAAGCAAGAUUAUAAACUAUUAUUAAUAUUUAUAAUGUAUAACUGAGAAUAACCAUUUCCAUUGUGCUUAACUGAUUUUCCUAAAAUCUUAGUGUAGACAUAAUGUAUUUAUUUUUAGCAUUGAUACCUACAUUUAGUCUUUUUACUUUUUUGAUUAAUAUGGCAGUAAUACCCUUUAUAGCAGGGUCAACUUUGUGGUUUAUGACUCUGAAAGGGUUCACAUAUCAAAUAUCCUGCAUACCAGAUAUUUACAUUAUGAUUACGUUACAUAACAGCAAUCUAACUACAGUUUUAAAGUAGCAACAAAAAUCAUUUUAUACCUAGAUAUCAGCACUAAAUGAGAAACUUUAUUAUAGGGGUUGUAGCAUUAGGAAGGUUGUAAGCCACAGCUUUAUAUUAUAAAGUCUAAAUCUGAGGUUUCAUUUUAUCUUAGUUUUUAGGUUUAUUUGUUUUAUUUUUAUGUAUGCCUGGGUGUAUGAACUUGUAUCAUAUGCAUACCUAGUUCCUGCAGAGGCCAGGAGAGGGCACCAGAUUCUCUGGAACUGGAAUUAUGAAUGAUUGUGAGCCACUAUGUAGGAGUUGGGAAUCCAACUGGAUUGUCUUGAAGAUCAGCAAGUGUUCUAAAUAACUAAACCAUCUUUUCAGGCCUCCAAAGUGAGGUUUUUGAACAUGUUCUUCAAGUUCUCUGAUCUGCCUCCCAUCAUGGAGGAAGCUCCAACUCAGUCCUUAGAGUCUCUGGUACUAGUUAUAGGAUCUCCUCUAGGUACGGAGUUUCCCCAACAAAACGACCUUUACCCACUGUUCUCGCUGAACCCCCUGAACACAGUGUAAUCCUUUAGAACCAUAGUGUGGAUCAGGUACUUGUAUGCCAGUACCCUGGAACACUGCCUUAUUUAUACAUGUAUUUAUUGCUUAUUCAUGUUGCAACAAACAAAUCCACAGCAGCACAAAUUAAAAGAAAAAAUACUAAAUAAUGGGGUUUCUAAUUCCUGAAAAAUGCUUUCUUACUAAAAUGACAUGUUAUUUUGGCAUGAUUUAUUAGUAUUACAACUAAGGUACAUAAUCUGUGAAAUAAUUCAAUGGUAUGAUUACAAUAAUUUGUGUUAAAUAUGACUGACUAGUAAGAAUAUCUAACUUCAUGUAUGAACAUGAUCACUUAAAUAGGGACUGAAAUCAAUGUACAGAUGGAUUACCCUUCAUCCAAAAUGCUUGAGACUAGAAAUGUUUCCGAUUAUUUUUUCUUUUUUCUUUUUUCUUUCUUAGAUUUUGGAAAAUUUGUGUAUACAUAGUGUGAUAUUUUGGAGAGAGUACUCAGUACUAAAUGUAAAAGUCAUUUGUUUCAUGUACAUUUAAAAAAAAUCCAAGGUAACUUUAUAUGCUAUUUUCAAAUACUUUUGGGCAUGAAAAUGGCAUCCUGUGUAGAGCAUUCCAUUUGUGGCAUUUUUACUAGCAUUCAAAAAUUUGAGGUUUGUGGAGAUGAAAGGGAGGCAUACCUAAUUCUGCAUUCAUGACAACAAGCAGAUGUUUAUAUAAGUCAUGAGUUAAAGUCAUUUAAUUUAGCAGGCCAUAGAACUCAAAUUGAAUUCAAUACUAUUAUCUGAUCAGACAUUAAUCUUAACUAAAACUGCCUCUUUUCAUCUUGGCUUAACCUCUUUUCAAAGUUUUCCCUGAAGGCUCGCAGUUUGGUUGAAUAGAUAAAUGGACUUUUAUUGCUGUGGUUCUUUAUGAUUGAAUCUGUCACUAGAUAAUUUUAUUAAGGAAAGGAGUUGAACUUUUCCGAGAAAUUAUUAUAAAAAGUGAUUCAAUGUGAUUCAUUUUUAGAACACAGUACAUUAUGAACACAUGUGAAGUAGAACAAAAAGUUUUUUAGGGGUUACUAUUCAUUGGUGGUGGGGCAAGAGGUAAGACUACUAAGACCCUUUAGAAGAAGUGUGAAAGUACUUUUCCUUGACUAUAUGUAAGUUUCUAGGAACAUCAUAAGGAAAGAAACAUAAUGCAAAAAAAUAAAAACAUACCUACAUAUUCACAUUUGUAAAAGUUAAAUAUCAGAAUAAAAUGCCAAUGGUUUUCAACUGAACUCAUAACAAGUUAUAGAUUCAAUAGUUUUAUAUAACUGUACACACAUAUAUGCAUGCAUAUAAAAAUCCAUCAUAGUUCUAUAUCAAGCUGUAAGCAUUAAUGCAUUACUUCUGUGUAUAAUGGAGGAGUGAGCCUUCACCUUUUUCACUUCUAGAGGAUGCCCAAGGUGCUAUGGUCAUAGCCUCUUUAUUUGACAGCCUAUAAAACACUCUGCACUUAGAAAAAGUUCUUUGCUUCCAAGAACUCCAGGUGGUACGAGGUUCAACAAGAUAAUCCAACAUCUCUACUCAUCUUAUUUAACCAGUUCAGCAAAAUCAGUGGUUACUAGUGGCAUAUUCACUAGAAAUUCCGAGGUUUCAAUAAUUACAAUGUGGGCACAUUUAGGGAACAACUAUUUUGUCUACCACAAACCUGUAGGGAGACAAAAAUAUGAAUUAAGCAUAUUUUAUGUUGGAUUUAGCAUUGUGAUCAAUGUUAAAGAUCUAUGACAGGCAGAAUCAUGAUAACUGGAAAAGUUAUAGUAGCUAAGUGGUAGGCAUUAUAUUGAAAGCUUUGUGUAUACUAACACAACAGUGCUAUGACAUAUUGUAUAGUUAAGAAAACUAAGGCACAUUUGUCUAAAAUUGGUUGAUAAAUGGUAGAGUUUGCUAUAACAAUCCAAACCCUCUGGGUUCAGAGUUCAUAAGCCUAAUAAUAAUGACCACAGUCAAUCACAACAAAGAUGACCCAUCAUAUUAGAAUAUAUUCUGCUAAUAUAGUCCUAUAUUUGUAAAAGAAACAUUGUAUGGAAACAGGCAGAAAGACUUAUGAUUACUUUAAUUUUAUUUACUAUCAAUAUUUUAAUAUGCUCCUUAUCCACAUUUGUUCAAGUUAUCUAAUCAGUUAAAUGUUAUUUUAGUGACUGUAAGGAUAAUUGUUACUGGUCUAUUUGUUAAAUGCAAUAAAGACUGUGUAAACUUGUAGUGAAACUGCUCAGAGGAGAUACACACCCAGGCAUGAGAAUUUUGUCAUAGCUGAGUAUGGAGUCACCUCUAACUGGCUUAGAUGCUGUGUGCUCAGGACAGACAGUGAGUUGUCCUGAAAGAAAAUGAAGUGGGUGUGAAUAAACCUUGAAAAGCACUUUAAAGCCAUUUGUCAAGGUGAGUCCAGAUGGAGGUAUGCAGAUGUGUAGACAUUUCCCCCACAGAAUCAAGGUAAUUAACAAUAGUUAUGUCAUCAGACAAGUCAAGGAAAGCCCUUAGCACCUCAUAGCUAAACACUUUAUGACCUUCUUUCUAAGUGAAAAUGCAAUCGACUUUCCAAUUUCAGACAUCUCUUUUCUCUACACACUUCUAUGGAACAGCUAGGACUCUCAGCUGUGAUUAAUGUUCCUUCCAGGAAGGUGUUUAGUUCCAGGGACAAAAGGAAAAGCAACAAGAAAGGUACAGCCACCUCAAGGAAUGGGAUUGCAUCUGUAACUAGGGCACCUUUGCAGAAGCCCGGCAUUAGCUAUGUUGUGUAUAAAGGACGUGAUAGGAAUUUACUUCACAAAGAAGUAAAUACUUAAACACCCUCUAAACAUGUUUAGUAUCACUUCUGGGUGAAACUAGAAGAUGGCUGAGAAACUCAUUAAAAUAUCAAUGAUGGUGUAUUGCACAGUGAUUUGGGACACCAAUUUUUAUUUACAGAAGAUGAGCAUUCCAACUUGACUGUUCUGUCUGAGAACAUGCAUCUCUUUUAUAGAGAUACUUCUCCUGCCUAAUAUUUUAGUUUCUUUUACUUGGGAAUUGGCAUUGUAUCACUUCCCAGGUUUCCUGUAAUGAAUGAGACAAUGUGAUGUAGAUUCAUCAAGUAGAUACUAGUUGCAUACAAUACUGAAUUACCAUCAAUUACAUUUGUCGUUGCUACUAUACCAGUAAAAUAUCUACCAUAAAAGCCCUUGAGGAAUAUUUUAUUUGAUUGGGUUUCCCUUAAGGCAGAUACCAGAUACAAGAUUACAUCACAAUUGCUUUAUUUGAAAGUUGUCCCAGGAAGUCAUGGGGACUGGAGCAGAGAGAUGAGAUGAAAUGAAAUGGUUACUAUUGUAGAGAAUCAGGACUGAAUGCUGGUGGAGACCCCAUGGCAUGGACUAAUCUGUUUUUGGCAUUUCCAAUAUGUGCGUUGAAAAGGCUGAGGUCAUCAUCCCCCACCUCUCCUCCGUUGCCCGAUAAAGAUGGGUUUCAAGGAAAUCAUUUUAUUUCUUAGCCAAGAGCCUCCUCUGCUUAGGAAACAAUUCAGUGUGCCCACAAAAAGAGAGGAAUGCCAUGUGUUGAAAGGUCAUAGUUCAGUGAUUAAGAAUGAGGAAGAAAUAGUGACUACAGAUAGAAUUACGUUUUACGGUACAGUCUAAAUGAUUCUCAAGCUGAUGCUGAUGGAAGGGAGACUAGGUCCUCAGUGUGGGUAAAGUUACCAUACACAAAUGUCGUUUUUCAAGGAGGCUUAAGUCCUACUUGUCUCACGAACCUUGUUGGUUAGCUUUUUUUCUUUUUUUCCGGUUUUACAUCUCUAACGAUGGUAUUUUUUAGCUCCAUGAACAGUUCUUUUCACUCACAGCACUUUAUUCCAAUGGCUUUACUAUCCAGUGGAUCUCAACAGUACACCCUCUCUCUGUAGCCAGAUUAGGAAUGCUUUCAGUAGCUGUUGGGACUGUAAAUGAAAUGCCCUCUUCUGAACACCAAGGUCUAAAUGACCAUCACUUGCUCCAGCAUGUUUUUCCCUUCAGCUUUUUACCCGUAGGUGGCAGCAACAGGCUCCAGAGUGCGUGUCCGCAGGUAACUGCUGCUGUCAAACCUGGAGUAUGACCAAGCAAGGACACAUAACCAACCGGAUGGUGCAUGAGGUCUGGUAGAUAAGUGCUCAAAUUUCAUCGGCUCCUUCCAUUGUUAAGAAAGCAGUCUGAAGCACCAAAACCAAACUCCUACAUUUCCUCUGGCUCCCUACAUUUUGCAACUUCAAGAGGCAAUUCCGUUCGGUCCUUGUAGCAGGCUAAUCUUUGAAACUCUGGAAUCUCUGUCCCUUGCUGUCCUUGCCUCGUGCCAAGCACAGGACUGUUGGUUGGCCGCCACCGUGUCCACUUCUCUCCCUCCGCUCUUUGCUGUAAGUGCAUGCAGGUUUUCCAGUGGGGAAGAAUGCCUUAGCGGCACCCCAGUUGAUAUCUCACCAUCCCUUUUCAUAACCGUACUUUCACACACACACACACACACACACACACACACACACACACACACACACACACACACCACAGCUUGCACGUGUAAUGCUUCUGGCAGGGUUGCCUCAGCAAGACCGAUACCAACAAAGCAAGGCAUCGCCAAGCAAGCAAGCAAGCAAGCACGCAAGCAAGCAAGCAAGCCAGCCAGCCAUGCCACCGGGACUCCUCCGACCCGAUCCCUCGCGUUGUUCCCGCAGUCAACGCCCCCGCAGCUCCCAGGCACCGCGACACCACGCCCGCAACGGCCAGGGCUGCUGCCCGCCACGACCUCUGAGAAGUUGUUGAUUGGGAGGGGAUCCGCUCAUCUAGGCAAGGGGAAGGGCGCCGCAGGGCGUCCGCGCGGCCCCCGCAGCCGCCCCGCCCCUGGGCCCCGCACGCGGAGCGCAGAACAGAGGCGCCCGGCGCGCAUCUCAGCCGCCCCGGGAGCCCGCGCACCCGUGCGUGGGGAGGGAGUGCGGGGCGGGCGAGCGCUCGUCGGGCGUGGGCCGCAACUUGGCGGGCCAGAUGCCCCAGGGCUCGGCGGCGCUGUCUGCCUGCCGCUGCUGCCCCUGCGGGGCCCGGGCGCGUCUCCUUGGGCGGCGCUGCCCGCGGCGCUGGGAGUGCAGUGAACGAGUAAAGGUAUGUGUGGCGGGCGCGGCUGGGGCAGCCGCCGCCGCGCAGGACACUGUCACUUCCCUGGACAUUGGCAGCGGCAUCUGGGAGCCCUAGAGCCCUGGGCAGGUUCUCCUGUCCUUCCCCACGAUCUGAUUGGAUAAACUGGGGCCUCGACGGUGGCCGACGUGGGACAGCCUGGCUGUGGCAGGGGUCUCGGAAACCAUGGGUUAUUGCAGUGGCAGGUGCACGCUUAUCUUUAUCUGUGGCAUGCAACUGGUUUGUGUGCUAGAGAGGCAAAUAUUUGAUUUCCUUGGAUAUCAGUGGGCACCUAUCCUGGCAAAUUUUGUACAUAUAAUCAUCGUCAUCCUUGGGUUGUUUGGAACUAUUCAAUAUAGACCUCGUUACGUAACAGGAUAUGCUGUCUGGCUAGUUCUCUGGGUGACCUGGAAUGUAUUUGUUAUCUGCUUCUAUUUGGAGGCUGGAGAUCUCUCAAAGGAAACAGACCUUAUCCUGACAUUUAAUAUUUCAAUGCACCGAUCUUGGUGGAUGGAGAAUGGACCAGGAUGUAUGGUGACGUCUGUGACACCUGCCCCAGACUGGGCUCCAGAAGACCAUCGCUACAUCACUGUCUCAGGGUGUUUUCUGGACUACCAAUACAUAGAAGUGGCUCAUAGUUCCCUCCAGAUUGUCCUCGCACUGGCGGGCUUCAUCUAUGCCUGUUAUGUUGUGAGAUGUAUAACUGAAGAAGAGGACAGCUUUGACUUCAUAGGUGGCUUUGAUUCUUAUGGAUACCAAGGGCCUCAGAAGACAUCUCACUUACAACUUCAACCAAUGUACAUGCAAAUUCCCUUGGAUAACAACUGAUAGCAAAUUCUAUAUCUCAGCAUCAAGUGAUAUGCUGAAUUGCAAGAGAAGAUCAAAAUAGAAAGUCAAAAUAACACAGAUGGCUCUGUCUGUCAGCCCAUGGACUCCUCAAAUGAUUUGUGCGGUGGCCUCUUGCCUUUUAUGAAGCUCAAGAAGCAAAUGGAUUUAAAUACACAUACAUGUUAUCAGACCAAACAGGAAGUUUCUACAUAGACACAUGAGUGAACACACACACACACCCACCACUGCCAUUAUCAUGCACACAUCAACUACACUGGACCUCCUCUUUCUGACUGAAACUGAUAAAUAUGCAGGAUACCCCCAUCCUAGAUUUCCUUAAUGCAGGUUCCCUUCUUCCAGACCUUUGAAGGUGGGAAAGGAGCUGUAUGUGUGUCUUCUGCAGAUCCCUACUUACCCAUCUGCAGCCCAGCCAGUUGGCUCUGUGAGGUGCCAAGUUAACCCAGGCACACAAGUUUGGAACCCUGUUCUCUGCACUCCAUACAAUACAUCUUGAUUACACCACAGCUACUUUACUUGCAAAAACUGGUCAGACAGAACAUGCCAUGAUGACCUUGUACCAAAUGCAAAAUGGCAGGUCGUUUGCCCUAAAGGCUAUACUGUACAUACUUGCCUUAAACCACCUGCAUUGUGUGCCCGAGACUCUCAGUGCAAAUGUCCCCCAGUCACAUCCUUUAGGCGAACACACUGCUAUUAAUUCCGGACUAUUGAAUCAAGGAAUAAGACUGAACCACUCAGCAGCUCCAGUGUGUCUGUAAGAAAUUGAUGUUUUACUACUGAGCCUCUUCAGUGGCCACAAAGAGACAAAGAACCAACAACAACAGUAACUGUCAUCUUCAUGUCUCUUAAACAUGGUCUUCUGAUGGUGGAACAAAGUAAAAUGUAUUAUUCUACUAAACUCAUUAAUCUACUAAAAGCAGAAAUGGCUUGACUGGUUGGUUUUCUUUCUGGCACUUUAAGUGCUUUUCUAAGUCUCUGCGAAUCGUUUUUCCUAACAGAGGAAACAGUUGUGGAUUUCUAUGACAGAGACCAACUAUGUAUUAGCUAUGUUUACUCUUUUAUAUCUAAUUCAAAUCCAAGAUCCAAUGUAGGUGAACUUUCUUUUCUAACUUCAGCAUACAAGAUUAUUUUUGGGGCGGGUGGGUGGGGUGCAAUAGUUAACUUAGUGGAAUCUUUGAGAUCUCUUUGUGAUAUUUGGGGGAUCUGUUGUGUGUUAUACUGUAUUCCAAUUCUGUAUUAGUGUGGCAGAAGAAAAAAAACGUGCUGUUGACGUAGUUGGCAAUGAGAUACCUUUGGAGACAAUAGUAGAUCAAUGUGUUUAUGGGAUAUUCUGAACUACUAGGCAAUUUAGUUUUAUAUUUUCAAGCACUCUUUGGUUUUCAUUAGUGGAAGACAUAAUUAGCUCAAGCUUAUCAGUAACACGAAUGAGUCAUGCUUUUCUUGAAUCUACUUGAGACACUAAAUUCAAGUUUUCUUUAGCACAUCACCUUCGUGUGCAGUGAAAUUCAGACUGAGAAGUUAAACAUUGGCAUGGAACAACUCCUUUUCUUUUGGUAUUUACUUUUCUUUUAGUUUCAGUUUCUGGGUUAACCCUUUUUGCAUUCAGAUCUCCAUUAAGACAGGCCAGUUGCUGUCUUUGCAAAAAUGUUUGCAACACAUGCCCAUUUGAACCCAUUUAAACUCAAUGAAGGCACUAAAAAUGGCCAUUGAAACAUAAACUUCAUGCACAAAAAGGUUUUAACACUCACACUUGAGUUUUCCCAGUGGCUUGUAUAUGUCAGUGCAUACCUAUAUGUGUGAAAUGGACAGUUGCAAACACAUCAGUGAAACCUCAUAUGGUGUUUUUAUAGUGAUAUGCAUGUUUAAUGUUUGAGGAACUAGUUGCCAAUGUACUGUCCUUUUAUUCCUAAAAUAUAAAUACUAUACAUGCCAGAAGCUAUUCUAAUGUGACUUUUGACAUGAGGUUUCACUGCAUUGCUGCUGGGAUGGGAUUCCACCUUGUAGUACAUGUGUAGGGAGGGAGUAAUAUAAGCUAUCAUGUUUCCUUUUAAGUUGCAGCCAACUCUCCACCAAGUCAGUAUAUCAUCACCACCAAAGUUUUCAGAAACAGUUGUUGACUACUCUUGAGUAGUCAGUGGGCGGGCCUUUUUAGGAGCAGUAAGCAAAGUAGUGUGAUUCUAGCUGGGAAACAUCAAAGCUGUCAGCUGUAUCCUCCUCAAAACCUGGUGAAGAAUGCUAUUUUUCUAGGCUGAACUUUUGUUAUAAACCUAAUAUUCUGAAAGCAAGAGUUAACUAUCCUGAUCAGUCUUUUUUUCUCCUCUUGGAUUUGUUAAUUCUGAAUGUAUUUUUAACAGAGUGAUUUUUUUGACUUUACUAGUGUAAUUUGCAUUUUAAAAAUAAAUGGAAAAAUGAUUAA